CUUCCCAUUUGACUACCAUAAUUUCUCCUAAGAAUAGAUUUUAGUGGCUAUGCUUACAGGCUAAAGCAAAUUACCAUGAUCUGAAGAGGGGGGAUUUGUGUCCUUCCAUACGAAAUGGCUGAACAGAAAAAA
RNAcentral lists this small nucleolar RNA (132 nucleotides) under Sorex araneus (European shrew). Its description in RNAcentral is "Small nucleolar RNA SNORA29 (ENSSARG00000015897.1)". It matches the Rfam family "Small nucleolar RNA SNORA29". From Rfam's summary of the family: ACA29 is a member of the H/ACA class of snoRNA that guide the sites of modification of uridines to pseudouridines. The record is from RNAcentral. Lineage: Eukaryota; Metazoa; Chordata; Mammalia; Eulipotyphla; Soricidae.